RNAcentral lists this transfer RNA (81 nucleotides) under Antarctobacter albus. RNAcentral's name for it is "Mameliella alba tRNA-Ala". The record is from RNAcentral. Lineage: Bacteria; Pseudomonadati; Pseudomonadota; Alphaproteobacteria; Rhodobacterales; Roseobacteraceae.
CUGGAUCUGGCAGACGGCUGGGCCUACGGUUUCGCGGAACGGGACGGCUAUGUGGGCUGGGUCGCGGCCAGCGAUCUGGUC